This 387-nucleotide ribosomal RNA is filed under the name uncultured archaeon. RNAcentral describes it as "bacterial SSU rRNA". It matches the Rfam family "Archaeal small subunit ribosomal RNA", at positions 343 to 733 of the family's 1478-position model. The record is from RNAcentral.
CAAACUUUGCAAUACACGAAAGUGUGACAGGGCUAUCCCGAGUGCCGUCCGCUGAGGAUGGCUUUUACCCAGUCUAGAACGCUGGGGGAAUAAGGAGAGGGCAAGUCUGGUGUCAGCCGCCGCGGUAAUACCAGCUCUCCGAGUGGUGUGGAUGUUUAUUGGGCCUAAAGCAUCCGUAGCUGGCCAAGCAAGUCCUUUGUUAAACCCACCGAAUUAAUCGUUGGAUUGCGGGGGAUACUGCUCGGCUAGGGGACGAGAGAGGCAGACGGUAUUUUCGGGGUAGGGGUGAAAUCCUAUAAUCCCGGGAAGACCACCAGUGGCGAAGGCUGUCUGCUAGAACGCGCCCGACGGUGAGGGAUGAAAGCUGGGGGAGCGAACCGGAUUAGA